This 77-nucleotide small nucleolar RNA is filed under the name Erythranthe guttata (spotted monkey flower). RNAcentral describes it as "Mimulus guttatus (spotted monkey flower) Small nucleolar RNA SNORD18". It matches the Rfam family "Small nucleolar RNA SNORD18". Rfam says of the family: U18 is a member of the C/D class of snoRNA which contain the C (UGAUGA) and D (CUGA) box motifs. It is encoded in introns of ribosomal protein L1 in Xenopus and human, and in introns of elongation factor 1 beta in yeast. Lineage: Eukaryota; Viridiplantae; Streptophyta; Magnoliopsida; Lamiales; Phrymaceae. The record is from Rfam by way of RNAcentral.
GAGAUAUGAUGAAUAAUAUAAUUGGUCCGUGUUUCUGAAUAAUAUUUGAUUGAUAAACCUUACCAACCUCUGAUCUC